AAAUACAAGAGGUCAACAUCUCUUAAAACGGUACUCGUUUCGAACACAAUCGUGAAUUUAGUCGAUUCACGAAUCAACCACACUAAACUUAGUUAUAAAAUACAACAUCAGUGUAAUCUAUCCAAAAGUAAACAUACUCGACUUGGAUACAAAACCCGACCUCUUAGUUUAAAAUUUUUCAUUAUCUCUCCUGCUCCUGAUUAUAAACGGCUUUUAAAAAUAUCUACGCGCAGUUGGAGGUUAGACGCAAACGUAAAUCCUCAUAACGUGACCACGUAAAUUAAAAUUUAGUGAAAUAAAAAAACGGGAAUUAAGUGAAAAUGUUUUUUUCUUUAAUCGGUAUUGGUUGUAUUAUCUACGGAUUGAUUUAUUUGUGUACGUUGUUUUUUGACGCCGAUUUGGAAUUAAAAUUUUACGAAAAAUUUGGUAAACCAAUAAGUCAUUUACGGGGUAAAGUCGUUUUUGUUACCGGAGCUUCAAGUGGGAUUGGAGAACAUAUAGCUAAAAGUUUAGCUAAAAAUGGUGUUAAGUUAGUGUUAGCGGCUAGAAGACAAGAUGAGUUGGAAAGAGUUAAACGUGAAUGUCUUGAAAUAUCAAAUGGGUCCUUAUCAAGUAACGAUAUCUUAGUUCUCGUAAUGGACAUGGUUGAUAUUCAAUUUCAUAAAAAACACUUUGAUCACGCUGUAAGACAUUUUGGCGGUGUUGAUAUCUUAGUAAAUAACGCUGGGAGAUCUCAAAGAGCGAUGUGGGAGAACAUUUCCAUGGAAGUUGAUAAACAAAUGUUUGAUUUAAACGUCUUCAGCGUAAUCCAUUUGAGUCGAGUUGCAAUGGAACAUUUUAAUCAAAGGGGAGAAGGACACAUUGCUGUUACUUCCAGUUUAGCUGGUGUUAUGGGAGUUCCAUUUUCAGGGACUUAUACUGGAUCAAAAUAUGCUAUACAUGGAUAUUUUAAUUGCUUGAGGACUGAGAAAAUUGGAAAAAGACUGUUUGUUACUUUGUUAUGUCCAGGACCAACUUUCACCAAUUUUUUACAAAAUUGCUUUACUGAAAAAGAAGGAGAGAAUUAUAGUGAAACUGUUCAACCAACUGAUAAAAGAAUGACUGGACAACGUUGCGGAGAACUUUGUGCGAUCGCUUUAGCAAAUAAACAAGAAGAAGCAUGGAUUGCGAUUCAACCUUUAAUUACUUUCCUUUACGUCGCUGUAUAUAUGCCAAACAUCUUUAAAUGGGGUUUGAGGAUUUUGGGGCCGGAGACUUUAUUCAAAUUGCGAGAUAGCAGAGAUACAACGGUUCUUAGAGAGGUAGAAACCAUUUGAAAACAACACCAUAUAAUUAUUUAUUUUUAUCUUUUAACACUUUUUGUUUGUUUUUAAAAGUUUGGAAAUAAUUUUUUUCGUUAUAUUAUAAAUUUUUAUAUUCUAAAAAUGAACGUAUUUUAUGUCUGUGAUUUGAAAAUUUCCGAACUAAUUGUUAAAAACUUUUGACUUAACUUUUUUGAGUUAACUAAGUGAUUCCUAAACUAUUUCAAGUCGCUGUACCUCACCUUAAGAUAAAGCAAGAGGCCAUUUUUUAAGAAUAAUUUUAUAUUAACUUUUAAUAGCACUUUAUAUCCUAUAAAAUAUGAACUUACAAUCAGUUCGCGAUGAAAAUAUAUAAUUUUACCCGAUUAAGCCAAGGUCACUUGAGUCUGAGGUUCUACAAUUAAUAUCAAUAUAUAUCAACUCGAAACUGAUCAUCACAUUGCUGCGUCUCGGUCGAAAGGGGGCUCGGUUUUAAUUAAUGUGGGAAAUAUAUGAUUUUAUUCGAUUAAGCCGAGUCACUUACUGUCGAGGCUCUACAAUUAAUAUCAUAUCAACCAGAAACUGAUUAUCGAACUGCUAUCACUUGUGUCUUUGUUUUAGACAGGUCAGAUAAUUCAUGGAUAUUUUUCUGAAAAUUAUUUCCAACAAGAUUACAUGUUUAGAUAGAUCGUUAGCAUAACAUUACUGGAUGAAAUUCAUUGAUAUACUUACUUGGUCUUGAAUUGAGAUAUCAGUUUCGAUCUGCAGCAAAUAUGUUUUCAUGUUUUUCUAAGUGAAUGUCUCAUUAACAUCCUUCUUCAACAAUUUUUUUAAAACGAUGCUUGAUUCACUCGAUUUUGAUCAUUGUUAUUAUUUCCAUAACAAGCAAUACCUUAGUAGUCAUGUUGCCCACUACUUUCAAAUGAACAAAUACAACAAGAUUACCUUUAUACGACUUGUGUACCUGUAUGCAAAAAUAAUGGUAAAGCUAUCAUUCUCCCGUUAAUGAUUUCUGCUUUAAAUUGAAGAUAUUUUACACAUUUAUUAGCGUCUUGUACUUUUUUUUUAUGUUAAUAUCAUGUAAUUAUUUGUUUUCUAUCCCAACCUCAAUGGAGUACUGCAACAUAAACAAAUUUUUUGAACAACGUUGUUAAAUAGUCAUAUUGUGGCGUGAUUAUUAGGUCUUUUUAAAUAAUUAAUCCCGAGAAAACAAGUCACAUUUAAUCGUGUUGAAAAUAUCAUCAGCAAGCUUUGACAAGUUUUAAUAACAGUUUUCCAUUCCAAGGUUUUCAUUAUUCUUUGCAGUAGAUCCAGAAGAAAUACUGAACAAUAUUUCAAAUUCAAUGUGAUAGUUUUAGAUUGAGCUAGUACUACUUUUGCUAGUGCUGUAGUUAUGGGCUGGUAGUGUUGGACACGUAUAAGUAUAGUAUCGACUAGUAUAUAACAACAUGCCACAGCAAUUUUGAAAUGUAAAAUCUAUUUUUACAAAAUACCUGUUGUGGGAGCUUCUUAUGCAAAGCACUAAUAUUCUUCAUAGUUUUAUCAUUGUACUGUAACUACAUAGAUACGUUUUUAUAUUUUUCAUUACAAUAUCUAAUAAUACAUUGCUAUUCAGGAAAUGGAUCCAUAUUGUCGGCUAAAUUAGGUUACUGCACACUGUAAUCGUUUUUAGGGAAGAGAAAAAAUUCAUAGCAUAAUAUUAGAUUUUAAUGUUAGAGUUCAAAAUGACUGAAACGUAUUAUUUUCUGAGAAAUGCUCAGUAUUUUAUAAAAUAACUCCAUAUUCUCCUAUUGAACGUUUUAAUGGACCAACGCUGAUUAUUAUGGCAUACCUACACAUUGACUUUUGAAAACAGAUUGACUUCAAAGUUUCGCAACAACGCAACUUAGCUUUGGGAAGGCCAUAAUUCUCCAUAUACACUUUUAUUCCAUUUUAUGUAGUGGCAAAUUAGUUUGCUACCUGUAUAAAUGUACUACAACGUAGAAUACGACGUGCUUUAGUCGCUUUUAUUUUGAACAUUAUCUUUUCAUUUUUUAACAUUUUCAGUUGCAUAUCAUACAUUGCAUUUCAAAAGUUAAUGCUUAAUAUUAAUACAUUGUAAAUGGAUGGGACUGUGCUAGAGACAAUCUUGAAGCCAAUUCGCAAUACCAUAUCAUAUCAUAUGAUCCCGGUGUCGCGGAAUUGAAAAGUUAAUUCUUAACAAAGAUUUUAUUGCAUAAAAGUGCACAAAAGAGUGUCAUCGAUUAAAUCAUAUCGAAACUUUAUUAAGUAUUAAUUUACUUAUUUAAGUAUCAUUUUAGUAGGGUAAAAGUUUCUCACCCUUAAGCUGUACUUACAUGCAAUAUCGUAGACACACGUGUAGGGACCAAAACCACACGUUUGCGUUCAUAUGGUUUGACACUAAGGACAAAUUGUCGGGUGACACUGAGGAUAACAUUCGGAUGAUAAUUCUAAUUGGACAAGCAACAAUUUUACUCCCAUUUUUCAUAAUUUUGACGGCACAAAUAUAGGAUAUAAUUUCAGGAGCAAUUUGUCGCAAGGAGAUCCUUUAGAAAUCUUUGAGCACUUUAUCACAAACACUUUUAGGCUUAUCUACUUAGUGAAAAUUCGGUCAGAUCUAUGAUUAUCCCUAUUUAUGCCACAAAUCAAAAAGCAACGUAUAAAAUAUUAUUGGUCCAGACACUUUAUUAUUGAAACACUAAUUUUCCUAUAAUGUAUUGGACGUAGUAGAUUUACAGAUUUGUUGUGAAUUAAGCUAUACAAAAUACGACUUAUUGUUACGACUUCAAAAUUACUUUCAAACAAAGCUUUUAUCAAUUUCAAUCUUUGCUCAUUGAUGAGACUUCCAGAUACUUUUCAAAUGAAGAAUCACAUUUCGUCAGUACAUACUGUCAAAGGACAUCGCUUUGGUAUAAAAUUAUUCGAAAUACUAGACUAUGAAGCUUGCUACAUUUUAAAUUUGAUCAUUUAUACCAGAGUAUCAACAGAAGUAAAUGCUUUUCAUAAAGCUAUAGAAAAAUCCGAAAAUAUAGUGAUGACGCUGAUAGAAGCAUAUUGCGGCGAAGGUCCACAAUUUAUAUACUGAUAACUGUAACACAAAUUAUUAACACAAAUGUUUGCAUGAGAAGAAAGUAAAUUGUAGCACUGCUAAGUCUAACAGAAUGUAUAUGUCUAAAUUCAAUACAAAACUUCAAAAAGGAACCACAAAAACUUUAUCUGCCAAUACUCUUCGUGCAAUAAAAAGGCGUGACGACAGAGAUGUUCAUAUUAUUACAACAAUGCACAAUAACACUAUGAAAAAAACAAUGUCAAUCAGAAUUGCAAUUGUUUUAAAACCUUUAGCUGUUGUAGACUUCUUCUUCUUCGUUCUGUCUAUUUUCAUUCUGUAAACGAGGAUAACCAACUCUGGGCCCAUCUCUUGGAUCGUCGUGGUGAUGUCCUUCCUGUUGGUUUCUCCGUCACACAUAUAUGAGUCAGCCGGCCACUUCAUUUAUUAUUUUCUAAAAAAUGACUAUAUGCCAAACUCGAUCCAUAACUGAUGUCACAAGUCACUACAAAACGGCGUUUCUCACUCACUUUUAUUCAUUUUAAUAAAACUCAGGAUAUGUUCUUCAUAUGUGGCAAAAGAAAAUUUAAAAAAAGCGCAAAAACAGACAUUUAUUACUGGUAACCCCUUAUUAUGAAGAGUAUGUAAUACUUCAUAUUUUACUGCAUAUUUUGGUAAUCACUAAGUUAACCGGUCUUAGAAGAAAAGGAAUAGUUAAAAAAUACUGACAUUAUUGAUAGGAAUUAAAAGAUGAUUUUUGUAUUUCUUUAAGCCAAAAGUAUAUCAUUAAGAAAUAGUGGUAAUAACUGACAGUUUAAUUUGAUAAGAUUUCUUUUUAAAAUAUUUAAUAAAAUCAAGGAUUUAAAUUAAAAUACAGAGUUACUACAAAGAUUACCUACUAUAUACUCAACAUGCUAUAUACUUAAAACUAUUACACCUACAGACAUAACGAUUAUAUAUAUCAAAAUAAUCGCAAAAUCACAACUUGGUAAGACUGGUGACAGCUUGAGAUCACUAUCUAUAAGUAUUUCCUUUCUAUAUUUUUGGAGUGGCAGUGUUGGUGCGAAUGACCUACCUUUAUUUCCUUGGCCGCCUAGGUCACCUGAGUUAACACCCUGUGAUUUCUUUCUUUGUGGCACAUUAAAGAUCUUGCUUACAUGCUAGUUUCCGGUUAUUUUGAUGUUUCAUUCAUGUUUGUAAGUGUAAUAGUUUUAAAAAUAUAGCCUUUUAAAACAUUUUCGCACAUAUUAAGUUAAGACAUUGUAUUCAACUAUAUUUCAAAUUGUUUCCAAACAUUUAAUUUCUUUUUGUAUAUAAAGUAUUUUUCUGA
RNAcentral lists this unclassified non-coding RNA (5656 nucleotides) under Onthophagus taurus. RNAcentral's name for it is "dehydrogenase/reductase SDR family member 7, transcript variant X2". The record is from RNAcentral. Lineage: Eukaryota; Metazoa; Arthropoda; Insecta; Coleoptera; Scarabaeidae.